Molecule: ribosomal RNA, 605 nt
Filed under: Dichotomopilus funicola
Lineage: Eukaryota; Fungi; Ascomycota; Sordariomycetes; Sordariales; Chaetomiaceae
Description: eukaryotic LSU rRNA
Rfam family: 5.8S ribosomal RNA (bases 221-374)
Source: RNAcentral
UGGAAGUAAAAGUCGUAACAAGGUCUCCGUUGGUGAACCAGCGGAGGGAUCAUUACAGAGUUGCAAAACUCCCAAACCAUCGUGAACGUUACCUACAUCGUUGCUUCGGCGGGUGGCGGGCUUCGGCCCUGCCCUCGGCCCCUCUCGGGGGCCCGCCGGAGGUACACCAAACUCUUGAAUUUACAUGGCCUCUCUGAGUCUUCUGUACUGAAUAAGUCAAAACUUUCAACAACGGAUCUCUUGGUUCUGGCAUCGAUGAAGAACGCAGCGAAAUGCGAUAAGUAAUGUGAAUUGCAGAAUUCAGUGAAUCAUCGAAUCUUUGAACGCACAUUGCGCCCGCCAGUAUUCUGGCGGGCAUGCCUGUCCGAGCGUCAUUUCAACCAUCAAGCCCCCGGCUUGUGUUGGGGACCUGCGGCACACCCGCAGGCCCUGAAAACCAGUGGCGGGCUCGCUGUCCACACCGAGCGUAGUAGCAUAUCUUUGUCUCGCUCAGGGCGUGCGGCGGGUUCCGGCCGUGAAACCCACCUUCUCGAAGGUACCCAAAGGUUGACCUCGGAUCAGGUAGGAAGACCCGCUGAACUUAAGCAUAUCAAUAAGCGGAGGAA